Pontibaca methylaminivorans is the source of this 56-nucleotide regulatory RNA element. It matches the Rfam family "sul1 RNA". The record is from Rfam. NCBI's taxonomy places the organism in Bacteria, Pseudomonadati, Pseudomonadota, Alphaproteobacteria, Rhodobacterales, Roseobacteraceae.
UCUGGACCCGGUGAAAGCCCGGGUGGCUCUUCCGGCCGCUGAUCCGCCGGAUAACC